This 731-nucleotide ribosomal RNA is filed under the name uncultured bacterium. Its description in RNAcentral is "bacterial SSU rRNA". It matches the Rfam family "Bacterial small subunit ribosomal RNA", at positions 28 to 776 of the family's 1533-position model. The record is from RNAcentral.
GAUGAACGCUGGCGGCGUGCUUAACACAUGCAAGUCGAGCGAGGGAGCACCUUCGGGUGUGAACUAGCGGCGGACGGGUGAGUAACACGUGGGCAACCUGCCUUACAGAGGGGGAUAGCCUUCCGAAAGGAAGAUUAAUACCGCAUAUUAUGAUUUUUCUGCAUGGGAAAGUCAUGAAAGGAGCAAUCCGCUGUAAGAUGGGCCCGCGGCGCAUUAGCUAGUUGGUGAGGUAAGGGCUCACCAAGGCGACGAUGCGUAGCCGACCUGAGAGGGUGAUCGGCCACAUUGGGACUGAGACACGGCCCAGACUCCUACGGGAGGCAGCAGUGGGGAAUAUUGCACAAUGGGGGAAACCCUGAUGCAGCAACGCCGCGUGAGUGAUGACGGCCUUCGGGUUGUAAAGCUCUGUCUUCAGGGACGAUAAUGACGGUACCUGAGGAGGAAGCCACGGCUAACUACGUGCCAGCAGCCGCGGUAAUACGUAGGUGGCGAGCGUUAUCCGGAUUUACUGGGCGUAAAGGAUGCGUAGGUGGAAUUUUAAGUGGGAUGUGAAAUACCCGGGCUCAACCUGGGAACUGCAUUCCAAACUGGAAUUCUAGAGUGCAGGAGAGGAAAGCGGAAUUCCUAGUGUAGCGGUGAAAUGCGUAGAGAUUAGGAAGAACACCAGUGGCGAAGGCGGCUUUCUGGACUGUAACUGACACUGAGGCAUGAAAGCGUGGGGAGCNAACAGG